This is a long non-coding RNA of Thunnus maccoyii (southern bluefin tuna), 1832 nucleotides long. RefSeq lists it as uncharacterized. The record is from RefSeq and is a predicted model, not a curated record. NCBI's taxonomy places the organism in Eukaryota, Metazoa, Chordata, Actinopteri, Scombriformes, Scombridae. The transcript has 2 exons.
AGCUCAGCCCCACAGACACAUGGAGGAACAAGAGGUCGUCCAGUACGCUGCUGUCACAUUUAACAGAGCCGGUACUGCCCCGAGAACCAGAGGUCAGGAAACUGAAGAAGACCCAGCUGCACUGUACAGCACAGUCAACAAAACCUCAUGAACACAUCAGCAAUCUCAUGUUUUGUUAUUAAUCUUUGAAUUUUUAUUUUUGAAAACAAUGAGAAGAACUCCCCCACACUGUCACACAACGAUUCAUAAUUGUGUUUAGUAUAAUUUUGAAAUAUGCUAUUUGUUGUCUUAAAGGAGUCUAAUCUGUGUUACUUCUGUUUUUGUAUAAUUUCACCUAAAAAGGUAAAUAUUUGUACAUUCAAGAAGCAAUCAGUCCUUCUAAAGUCUUGUCUGUGGUCAGUUAUUUAAAAUACAGCAUGAUAAAAGUGAAUAGACCUAAUGCCAAGUUUGACAGUUUCUUUGUUUAUUAGUAGGCUAUUAUAAGUUUCACCCAAAACAAGUAAACCUCUGUGGUAGCUACCUUUUAAAUAGACUGAACCCAAACAACCAUCAUUCCAGUCUAAAGUCACUUACAGCAUCUUAGACAUAGUAUAGAGUGUUGGGGUGCUACACCUGCUGAAAGAAAAAUGUUAAAAAAUGAAAAAGAAAAUUGAAAAAAAUCUCUACACACCUGAAUAUGUGACAGGUGCAUUAAAGGAAGGUGCAGCUCAGACCUGUCUGAAACAUGAUUUAAUAAAUAUUCCAGCAAGAAGCGAGAGAGUGUGUCAGAGUUCUCCUCAUUGUUUUCAAGUUGCACCUUCCUCCAACACACCUGUCACAUAUUCAGGUGUCCAGACUUUUUUUUUUUUUUUUUUUUUUAAUUUUAAGCAGGUAACCAUUGGAUUUUAAAACUUCAUUUCUCAGAGUGGACCUCUCUAAGAAUGCAUCAUAGAGACAAAUAUAUAUUUUAGAGCGAUUUGAAUUGACAGUUUAUCUUGUUAUUUUACUGCUGAAGUAAAAUCCCAUUCAGACCUAGCUCCUGUACUUAUUAAUUUCAUUGUGGAUCCUUUGAAACAAUGGCAGAAAGCAGUAAGCAGCAUUUGGAUUGACAACAUAAUUGAUCUGCCAGUAGGAUUUAUCAUCAAUGCCAGACAGCCUCAACAUAUUUAUUGUUUCUUUACUCUCACAUGUAUACUAACCUUACACACUCUGGAAAGAUGUAAGUAGUGAAGCUGAUCCCAGUGACAAAACUUUCAUUGUAAAACCUGCUAAUUUAAACUUGUAGUAUUUGUGCGACUGGAGUCACUGGAGUCAUUUAGUGGAGCUGUGGAUUCCUGCCAGUGUAAUAUUUAUUAACAUUGGGUUAGAGGAGAUAUACUAAAGAUUAUUAUAACUUGCAGCUUUGGACAUAUCUCAGGAGUAGUGUAUCAGUUAGUUAACAAGUGGUAAGACUGUAAUGUUUAAGAUAUUUAAAAAAACACACUGGAGUAUUAGAGAGAUUUUACUGAUCAACUUGUAGUUUCAUAUUGCUGCCACUAGAUGAUAGUAAAGAGUAAUAUUUCAUUGAUAACAGACCAUUUCCACUGUUCUUUCUGUAUUUACAAUAUGUCUUCCAUUUUCAUUAUUACAACCAGUUUUAUUGUCAGUCAAGUAUUUGUUGUCAAUAUUCUAACAUUCAUCUUGUUAAUAAUUUCUACUGCCUUACAGUAACAUUGCAAUUGUCUGUUUUUCUGCUUUCUUUAUACAUAUUAUUACAGCCUGUUUUUGUUCUAUAUCACAAUUUCUAAACCAUGUAAUCACAUUUCUCCUUGCUCUUUGUUGUUUUGUCUUAAAUAAAAUGUCCUCAGUUCUAA